AGGACGAACGCUGGCGGCGCGCUUAACACAUGCAAGUCGAGCGAGAACCGGGACUUCGGUCCCGGGGACAGCGGCGAACGGGUGAGUAACACGUGGGUAAUCAACCAUCGGCACCGGGAUAGCCCGAGGAAACUCGGAUUAAUACCGGAUAGCCCCUCCGACUCUCGAGUCGGUCGGGAAAGGUAGCUUAGGCCUCUGGCCGGGGACGAGCCCGCGGCGGAUUAGCUUGUUGGUGGGGUAAUGGCCUACCAAGGCAACGAUCCGUAGCUGGUCUGAGAGGACGAUCAGCCACACUGGGACUGAGACACGGCCCAGACUCCUACGGGAGGCAGCAGUGGGGAAUCUUGCGCAAUGGGCGAAAGCCUGACGCAGCGACGCCGCGUGAGGGAAGAAGGCCUUCGGGUUGUAAACCUCUUUCAGGAGGGACGAAGCUACUCGGGUGAAUAGCCCAGAGGGUGACGGUACCUCCAGAAGGAGCCCGGCUAACUACGUGCCAGCAGCCGC
This 504-nucleotide ribosomal RNA is filed under the name uncultured bacterium. Its description in RNAcentral is "SSU rRNA". It matches the Rfam family "Bacterial small subunit ribosomal RNA", at positions 26 to 518 of the family's 1533-position model. The record is from RNAcentral.